AGNUAUUACUAAAUCUGCGGAAGGCUCCGUAUACCUGUUACUAGCUAUGGUGCCCACCCAAGUCGCGGAUAAUGCUGGAAACCCUAACAAUAAUACGUUCUAAACAUAUUGUUGUUUGGCCGCUUGCUUAUUAAGCUCGAUUGGAUUGCGCUUCUUGCAGGCGCAUUCCUCUCAACAGGGGUUUGCUUGCGGUCGUUGGGGUUCCUGCUUGUCCGGCAUACCGACCCGGGGUCCAAAAGAGUGGCUGCGCACAGUCGUACUCCUUCGCCUCCUGAAUUUGCUUGGGUAAUAUACACCGGCCUGCGUUCUGGGCUGUGAGAGAUCACAGCUUGGCACAGGGCGGGUGCUUACCCCAGGUAGUGAGGGAAUUAAGGCGGAGGUUCAGGUGCGAUGCAGUUUCACUUUUUCCCGGUGCUCGUCCAAUGCAUGAUUUGGGUGGGAAAAUGCCUCGAUGGAGGCAGCCGAUGCCCUCCACGCUCUCCAUGCGUUUCAGUCCUAUCAACUGGAUGGCUGGGCAUUGGCCAACCAUGGUGGUAACGGGUGCAGAGGAUUAGGGUUUGAUCCUGGAGAGGUAGCCUGAGAAAUAGCUCCCACUUCCAUGGAAGGCAGCAGGCGCGCAACGUUCCCAAUGGUUUGGACGCGACCGAGGACGUUAAGGAACAUAGCAAUACUUUGCCUAAAGCAAAGCAAUUGAAAUGGGGGCGAUCCAAAUCAUCCACCGAGUAACAAUUAGAGGACA
Molecule: ribosomal RNA, 739 nt
Filed under: Tubifera sp. 3 DL-2015a
Lineage: Eukaryota; Evosea; Eumycetozoa; Liceales; Reticulariaceae
Description: partial 18S ribosomal RNA
Rfam family: Eukaryotic small subunit ribosomal RNA
Source: RNAcentral